CCUGUUAUUUUACUGUUACUCGGUUAUCAUUUACAGGCACUGUCAUUAUUUCAUCAUUACUUCAUUAGUCUGUAUUACUUAUCUUCAGUUUAUCAUGUAUCAUUUAUUGUUUAUUUCAGAGCACGUAGGAUAAAACCCAUUCUAGAUGUAAUACUCUAUCAUGUGGCGAAAGCACCUCUCGAGCUAGAGGGUCCAGUUGGGCCUCCUGCAGUCACUUGCAGGCUUACACAAACAUGCACAUACAGAGUUAUGUAAAACACGCACGUUCACAUACACACUUAAUAAGAACAGAAAGGUCGUCUUAGGACAGUCUCUCUGAGAGCUACACUAUCACAAAGUGCACAAUGUAAUACACACUUGUUUUUCUCUAAAGUAGCAGUUGAUGUCCAUAUAAGGAGAACUUUUUGAGUGCGAGGAACUGUUAUCAUUGCCAGUAAGGUCUAACUGUGUGACGUCAUAAUGACUAUAAAGCUUUCUGUCUUUGUGCAAACGAAGAAGAAGUCCGGCUCUUCCCACACUGUAAUGUGUGUUUUAAUAAAUGAUCUAUGCUGACCCAAACUAUAUCCCAGUCGUAGUCUCUUCCUCAAAAUCCGAACCAUGACAGUGGUU
Haplochromis burtoni (Burton's mouthbrooder) is the source of this 609-nucleotide long non-coding RNA. RefSeq lists it as uncharacterized. The record is from RefSeq and is a predicted model, not a curated record. The transcript is spliced from 2 exons. Lineage: Eukaryota; Metazoa; Chordata; Actinopteri; Cichliformes; Cichlidae.